This 309-nucleotide ribosomal RNA is filed under the name Parabronema smithii. RNAcentral describes it as "partial large subunit ribosomal RNA". The stretch from base 1 to 77 matches the Rfam family "5.8S ribosomal RNA", at positions 79 to 154 of the family's 154-position model. The record is from RNAcentral. Lineage: Eukaryota; Metazoa; Nematoda; Chromadorea; Rhabditida; Habronematidae.
ACGCAUUGAGCACAAAGAUUUCGAACGCACAUUGCACCAUCGGGUUGAUUCCCGAUGGUACGUCUGGCUGAGGGUCGAUUUAAUGAUCAUCCAAGCAACUCAUUCAUGUUAAGAGUAUGUUUGAACUUACAAUCAUCAGGUGAUAGGAAACAUGCAGCAAAUGAAUUUUAUCCCCUGAUAAGUAUUGUGUAUCAAUAUGAAAGUUUGUUUCAUGUUGAUUAUCGAUAUGUGUAAAACACAAAGAAUUGAAAGAAAUUCAAAAAUAAUGCAAAAAUGAAUUUCAUCAAUUGUUUUAUUUGUGUAUGUACA